Molecule: long non-coding RNA, 225 nt
Organism: Triticum dicoccoides
Lineage: Eukaryota; Viridiplantae; Streptophyta; Magnoliopsida; Poales; Poaceae
Exons: 3
Source: RefSeq, a predicted model, not a curated record
CGGGCGUGGUCUGUGGGAUCUGGUGGGUGCACAACUUCUCUUGUUGGUGCAGUCUUUUGUUGGUUCCAAUACAGUGAUGCUCCUGGGUGACUCCAGUCUGAGAAAGAGGGAAAUGCAGGUCACGCUAGCUUGCAACCAUUUUUGGGAUGGAUUCAUCGAUAGAAUGCCGAGAUUUGCUUAAGAUCACGGAAGCUUGGGUUGAUGGAGUGCUUGUAUUUAGUUUUU